GACGAACCGUGCGAACGUUGUUCGGAAUCACUGGCUUAAAGGGCGCGUAGGCGGGUUCUCAAGUCCGGGUGAAAGCCCCAGCUCAACUGGGAAGUGCCUUGGAUACUGGGCCUCGAGGGAGGUAGGGCGUGCGGAACUUCCGGUGGAGCGGUGAAAUGCGCAGAUAUCAGGAAGAACACCCGUGGCGAAGGCGGCUCUCUGGGACGGUACUGACGCUGAGACGCGAAAGCGUGGGAGCGAACAGG
Molecule: ribosomal RNA, 245 nt
Filed under: uncultured bacterium
Lineage: Bacteria
Description: partial 16S ribosomal RNA
Rfam family: Bacterial small subunit ribosomal RNA
Source: RNAcentral